Molecule: long non-coding RNA, 476 nt
Filed under: Hordeum vulgare
Lineage: Eukaryota; Viridiplantae; Streptophyta; Magnoliopsida; Poales; Poaceae
Description: long non-coding RNA (HVUL_LNC006675)
Source: RNAcentral
GUGGUGUGGCGCGGGCUGCGCGGGGUAGCCGCCGCCGUAGCCGCCGUACGGGGGGCAAGCCCCGGCGGCGGGCGGAGGGUACCCGUGCUGCCCGUGGCCGCCGUACCCCUGCUGCUGCCCAUGGCCGCCGUACCCGUGCUGCUGCACAUGGCCGCCGCCGUACCCGUGCUGCUGCCCGUGGCCGCCGUAGCCUUGGUCGCAGCCGUACCCCUGGCCGCCGUACCCGUGCUGCCCGUGGCCUUUGCCGCCGCCGACAAGGCUGGACACGAAGCCCUUCACGCCGCCGUUGUGGCCGCCGUGCAUGUCGUGGCCGCCGCCCAUGGUCGCUUGCUUGCUUUGGCCGAUCGAGCAAGUGAAGUUGUUUGGUGUCGCUCGAUGAUGUGCUCAGUAUGUCGAGGCCUGCGUCCCCUUUUAUAGCCGCUUGUUCCGCGGCCCCUUUGGACGUGUGUCGACCGAUCGCAUGUACGCGAGUCGAC